This is a long non-coding RNA of Oncorhynchus tshawytscha (Chinook salmon), 1822 nucleotides long. Lineage: Eukaryota; Metazoa; Chordata; Actinopteri; Salmoniformes; Salmonidae. The record is from Ensembl.
GUGAAAUUAUACAUUUUAUUAAAUUAUUCAGUCAAUGCAUGUCACGGUACCAUUCUAAGACAAAUACACACAAAAGAAACGUUAAGGCACAACAGGAUGACAGUGUUUUCCACAUGUAUGAAUCCAUCCACCAGAGCAUUUCAGUGACUAAUAUUUGUAAAACGAGGUGCUCUGCUUUCCCCAUGCAUUAUGGACACUGUAGUCCUCAAAGGUUCUCUGUUCACUUUAUUAUAACGUCAGAGGAAUUCAGAGCUCAGUCUCUGUCACCAUAGUGAAAAGAGCUUGCGUUCCUCCAUCUCCUUUCCUGCAUGGCCACUGAUUUGAAAGGACUUGGUAGGCAAGACAAAUAGUACUGUGAAAAUCUAUGUAGGCCUAGUCCUUUCACCUAUCAGUGGUCAAGUCUGAGGACAUUAUUGAAGACAUGUUUCUGGGUAUUCGAACAUAUUGAUGGGCUGUUCUCCAGUUUUUAGCAACACCUCAUGUUGUAAUAAGAACACAGUAUGGUUCCUAAACAUUACUCAUUCUCUUGUGUUGUUUUUCAACUUCUUCAGGUCCUCUUUAAGUGUUUCUGAUUAAUCAAGUGGGAAAGUAAAUGCAGAUUUAGGCCUCAAGCAGGUCUCGUGUUAAAACCGGGGCAUUUAAAUUACCAGAGGUUUGGCACAUACUAAGGCACAUUAGUUUGAAGCAGUACGCAAAGAGUAAAAGGUAACAGGGGUGGGGAACCCGAAAAAUGACUUUAAACCAUUUAGAAUGUGUCCUUACUUUAAGGUAGAUGCACCAAUGGAGUAGCAGUCUCCUUCCACUGAGUGUCCUGAGAUCAGGCUUAUUUAUAAUGAUGAUACACAGCAAUUAUACUUAUCUAUAGUGUCAGUACAGUAAUCCUAAUUCUUGUUAUGAUCCUUCAUAUCAUUAUUCUGAUGUUGACUGAGCAACACCAAUAAAACCAGCAUUGAAACAAAUCUGUUGCAUGACCUGAGUUUGAGAUCUCUAUAUGCCAACACCCAUAAGAAACCUUUAACAUCCUCUCUGAGUCACUCUUUUCAAGACAUAGUAACACCAUUUUCUUUUGAAUUCAAUUUUGCAUCACAGUGGUUUAACUGUCAACUGAGGAUCUUAACAGUGUAGUCGAGUGUUUAACACAUGAGAAUGCGCGCAAAAUUUCUGUCAAAAGACUAAAUUCUCUUGAGAGGCUCAUGGAGUCACCACACUUUUAGCAGAGAAUCAUAAAUUACACUUAUCGAAAUGCUUCACAAUUUCAUCUGACAAAAAUCACAGUGACAGUGUUAAGGCGAGUUUGUGUGCAACCAACUGAGCACCAUUUUGAAAAACAAGCUCUGAGAUCAAACUCGGGUGUAAUAUCCUGUAGUGUGUUGAACAUAGCUUCACAACAAUGAUACGGUAGGCUAUACUCAUGUAAUGGCACUGGGUCAACCACUUUAAAAGACUCACCAACAACAAUGUGUAAAACCUAAUACGGUUAAAUUUCACUUUGAGUAAAAUAAAAGUAACAAAAGGUAGAGACUACAGGGAGAGUUGGGGUUGAGACUGCCAUAUUUAUACUUUGAGGAGUGCUUUCAUUCUAAUGAUCUCAACACACAAAGGACUGCAAAUGUUAUCCUUAUUGAGCUGUAGAACAGAACAGAACACAUGUCAAAACUCACUCAGCAUAGGGUUAAUGCUUGUGAUUGUGUUCUGGCCUUGAGGUCUUCAGUGACUGGACGUGGUGGGGAAGGGUGUAGGAGAUGCCAGGGGCUUGGAAUUGAAAGGCAUCCUUGGGGAAUGUUCAGACGUGUUUUACAAGCCUCCAUCAUCACCAUCGCCU